UACAGAGGGUGCAAGCGUUAAUCGGAUUUACUGGGCGUAAAGCGCGCGUAGGCGGCUAAUUAAGUCAAAUGUGAAAUCCCCGAGCUUAACUUGGGAAUUGCAUUCGAUACUGGUUAGCUAGAGUGUGGGAGAGGAUGGUAGAAUUCCAGGUGUAGCGGUGAAAUGCGUAGAGAUCUGGAGGAAUACCGAUGGCGAAGGCAGCCAUCUGGCCUAACACCGACGCUGAGGUGCGAAAGCAUGGGGAGCAAACAGG
This 253-nucleotide ribosomal RNA is filed under the name uncultured bacterium. RNAcentral's name for it is "partial 16S ribosomal RNA". It matches the Rfam family "Bacterial small subunit ribosomal RNA", at positions 524 to 776 of the family's 1533-position model. The record is from RNAcentral.